GACGAACCGUGCAAACGUUGUUCGGAAUCACUGGGCUUAAAGGGCGCGUAGGCGGGUCACCCAGUCCGUGGUGAAAUACUCCAGCUUAACUGGAGCAGUGCCGUGGAUACUGGUGAUCUCGAGGGAGGUAGGGGCAUGUGGAACUCCAGGUGGAGCGGUGAAAUGCGUAGAUAUCUGGAGGAACGCCGGUGGCGAAAGCGACGUGCUGGACCUCUUCUGACGCUGAGGCGCGAAAGCUAGGGGAGCAAACGGG
Molecule: ribosomal RNA, 253 nt
Filed under: uncultured bacterium
Lineage: Bacteria
Description: partial 16S ribosomal RNA
Rfam family: Bacterial small subunit ribosomal RNA
Source: RNAcentral